RNAcentral lists this ribosomal RNA (292 nucleotides) under uncultured bacterium. RNAcentral describes it as "partial 16S ribosomal RNA". It matches the Rfam family "Bacterial small subunit ribosomal RNA", at positions 505 to 796 of the family's 1533-position model. The record is from RNAcentral.
GUGCCAGCCGCCGCGGUAAUACGGAGGGUGCAAGCGUUGUCCGGAAUCAUUGGGUGUAAAGGGUGCGCAGGCGGGUCAGUAAGUCGAGGGUGAAAUCUUGCCGCUUAACGGUAAAAGCGCCUUCGAUACUGCUGAUCUUGAGUCCAGAAGAGGCCGGUGGAAUUCGUGGUGUAGCGGUGAAAUGCAUAGAUAUCACGAAGAACACCAGUGGCGAAGGCGGCCGGCUGGUCUGGUACUGACGCUGAGGCACGAGAGCGUGGGGAGCGAACAGGAUUAGAAACCCCAGUAGUCC